AUUGCUUCUCAGCCUUUUGGCUAAGAUCAUGUGUAGUAUCUGCUCUUAUCAGUUUAAUAUCUGAUACGUCCUCUAUCUGAGGACAAUAUAGCAAAUGGAUUUUUGGAGCAGGGAGAUGGAAUAGGGGCUUGUCUGUCCACUCCACGCAUCAAUCUGGUUUUGCAGUAAUUCUAGGAACAGUGAACCCCCU
This 190-nucleotide small nuclear RNA is filed under the name Dasypus novemcinctus (nine-banded armadillo). Its description in RNAcentral is "U2 spliceosomal RNA (ENSDNOG00000044179.1)". It matches the Rfam family "U2 spliceosomal RNA". From Rfam's summary of the family: U2 is a small nuclear RNA (snRNA) component of the spliceosome (involved in pre-mRNA splicing). Complementary binding between U2 snRNA (in an area lying towards the 5' end but 3' to hairpin I) and the branchpoint sequence (BPS) of the intron results the bulging out of an unpaired adenosine, on the BPS, which initiates a nucleophilic attack at the intronic 5' splice site, thus starting the first of two transesterification reactions that mediate splicing. The record is from RNAcentral. Lineage: Eukaryota; Metazoa; Chordata; Mammalia; Cingulata; Dasypodidae.